This 472-nucleotide ribosomal RNA is filed under the name uncultured bacterium. Its description in RNAcentral is "bacterial SSU rRNA". It matches the Rfam family "Bacterial small subunit ribosomal RNA", at positions 29 to 518 of the family's 1533-position model. The record is from RNAcentral.
ACGAACGCUGGCGGCGUGCCUAACACAUGCAAGUCGAGCGAUGAAGUUCCUUCGGGAACGGAUUAGCGGCGGACGGGUGAGUAACACGUGGGUAACCUGCCUCAAAGAGGGGGAUAGCCUCCCGAAAGGGAGAUUAAUACCGCAUAACAUUAUUUUCUCGCAUGAGAAGAUAAUCAAAGGAGCAAUCCGCUUUGAGAUGGACCCGCGGCGCAUUAGCUAGUUGGUGAGGUAACGGCACACCAAGGCGACGAUGCGUAGCCGACCUGAGAGGGUGAUCGGCCACAUUGGAACUGAGACACGGUCCAGACUCCUACGGGAGGCAGCAGUGGGGAAUAUUGCGCAAUGGGGGAAACCCUGACGCAGCAACGCCGCGUGAGUGAUGAAGGUCUUCGGAUUGUAAAGCUCUGUCUUUGGGGACGAUAAUGACGGUACCCAAGGAGGAAGCCACGGCUAACUACGUGCCAGCCGCCGC